RNAcentral lists this ribosomal RNA (253 nucleotides) under uncultured bacterium. Its description in RNAcentral is "partial 16S ribosomal RNA". It matches the Rfam family "Bacterial small subunit ribosomal RNA", at positions 524 to 776 of the family's 1533-position model. The record is from RNAcentral.
GACGAACUGUGCAAACGUUAUUCGGAAUCACUGGGCUUGAAGAGUGCGUAGGCGGUUUUGUAAGUAGGGUGUGAAAGCCCCCGGCCCAACCGGGGAAUUGCGCCCUAAACUGCAAGGCUGGAGUGAGGUAGGGGUGUGUGGAACUUCUAGUGGAGCGGUGAAAUGUGUUGAUAUUAGAAGGAACGCCGGUGGCGAAAGCGACACACUGGACCUUGUCUGACGCUGAGGCACGAAAGCCAGGGGAGCAAACGGG